Molecule: non-coding RNA, 3109 nt
Organism: Callithrix jacchus (white-tufted-ear marmoset)
Lineage: Eukaryota; Metazoa; Chordata; Mammalia; Primates; Cebidae
Source: RefSeq, a predicted model, not a curated record
GUUGGUCAAUGAGAAGGUUAUCAUAUUCUUGAAACCAGGAAUCCUGAGAGGACCCACAGACCCUCUGAAAGAAAUGGACUGCUCCUGCAGGACCUGGAGAGACACCUCAAAUACUGUAGGUGCCCCAACUGCAGAAGUGGGAAAAAGAGAUUCUCCACAUACCUGCCCUGGGGAAACUGAGGGUCUGUUUGUGGGAGAAGUUUUUGAACUUACCUUUAGCUGAGUCAAUUUAGAGAGCAGACUGAAAUACAGGUGUAGAAGAAGCAGCGGGAAAGGCCCUAGGAGCUCUCUGGGUCCCUGAACAGCCAUUCCUGCCUGGCACCACAGAGGUCCUUCUGGAGGGCAGCCAGAGGCACAGAGGAAAAUGCCACUGAGAGAAGGAAGCCUCCAGCUGAACUUUGUAACAAUUUGAACUGGGUGAGAAGCCUCCUGGCCAGAACUUGGGGGAGAGCACAAAUCCAGUGUGCAGAUUCCACAGGUGUGGAAAGAACCAAGCCCUUACCUUUUGCAGCUGGGAGGUGGGUACUCUGGGGCAGGUUCUCAAGUAGAAUAAAGAAAUUCAGAGCCCAAAGAUAAGGUCUUCAAAUUAACUCAAUCCAACAAAGACAAAGAAAAAAUAAGAAAAGUGAAAAAAGCCUCCAAGAAGUCUGGGAUUAUGUUAAAUGACAAAACUGAAGAAUAAUCAGUGUUCCUGAGGAAGAAGAGAAUUUUAAAGCUUGGAAAACAUAUUUGGGGAAACAAUCAAGGAAAACUUCCCCAGCCUUGCUAGAGACCUAGACAUCCAAAUAACAAAAACACAAAGAACACCUGGAAAACUCACUGCAAAAAGAUCCUCACUUAGGCACGUUGUCAUCAGGUUACCCAAAGUCAAGAUGAAGGAAAGAAUCUUAAGAGCUGUGAGACAGAAGCACUAGGUAACAUGUAAGAUUAAUAGCAGAUUAAAAUAUCACAAUCCUAAACAUAUAUGCACCUAACACUGAAGCUCCCAAAUUUAUAAAACAAUUACUAAUAGACCUAAGAAAUGAGAUAGUCAGCAACACAAUAAUAGUGGGGGAUUCAGUACUUUACUGACAGCUGUAGACAGGUCAUCAAGACAGAAGGUCAACAAAGAAGCAAUGGAUUUAAACAAUAACUUGGAGCAAAUGGACUUACCAGAUAUAUACAGAACAUUUCACCCAACAACCACAGAAUACACAUUCUAUUCAACAUUGCAUGGAACUUUCUCCAAGAUAGACCAUAUGAUAGGCCAUAAAAUGAACCUCAGUAAAUUUAAGAAAAUUGAAAUUAUAUCAAGCAUUCUGUCAGACCACAGUGGAAUAAAGCUGGAAAUCAACUCCAAUUUCCAACUGGGAGGUUCCAAAAGGAACCUUCAAAACCAUGCAAAUAUAUGGAAAUUAAAUAGCCUGCUGAUGAAUGAGCAUUGGGUAAAAAAGGAAAUCAAGAUAAAAAUUUAAAAAAUUAUUGAAAGACAAUAAUGACACAAUCAAUUAAAAUCUCUGGGAUACAUCAAAGGUGGCACUAAGAGGAAAGUUUAUAGCCCUAAAAGCCUACCCAAAAAAGACUGAAAGAGCACAAACUGGAAUACUAAGGUCACACUUCAAGGAACUAGAGAAACAAGAACAAACCAAACCUAAACCCAGAAAAAGAAAGGAAAUAACCAAGAUCAGAGCAGAACUAUGUGACAUUGGAAAAAAAAAAUGCAAUGUGCCGUGCAGCCGUGGUCCCCAUGGAGCUGCUGUAGCAGACCCAGCAGUCAGGAGCGACCCGGAUGAGCUCAGCCCGGGCCCACCACUGGGCCUGGUUGCUGGUGAUCAGCUUCGUGUUUGGGUGCAGUAUUCUUAGGAUCCUCUUCCCGUCCUUCUCGUCUUUCAUGUCCAGGGUGCUGCACAAGGAUGCGGAGGAGUCACAGAUGAGAACGGCGAUCAAGGACAUGAAGCAGGAGCUGUCCAUGGUCAACAUGAUGGAUGAGUUUGCCAGAUAUGCCAGGCUGGAAAGAAAGAACAACAAGAUGACGGAUAAGCUCAAAACUCACAUGAAAGCUUGGACAGCUCUAUUAGGCAAGAUAAAAUAGGUGAUAAGUGUUGCUUUUUACAUUUUGCAGGCUGCCCUGAUGAUCUCACUCAUUUGGAGGUAUUAUUUUGUCCCUGUGGCUGUGGUGCCGAGUAAAUGGAUAACCCAGCUAGACUGCCUGGGUAGUCUUUCCUACUAGAGUAGCAGGUGGUGUUGGAAUUGCCUGCUGGAUUUUAGUCUGUAACAAAGUUGUGGCUGUUGUGCUUCAUCCAUUCAGCUGAACAGAAAGAUGGAUACAGCUACCAGAGUUGUAACAAUGAAUUUUCUCAUAUAGGUUAAAAAUCUGAUUUAUACUCUUUUAGGAAACAAAAGUGCACAGUUUAGAUUUUUUUGUUGUUGAGUAUGUUUGUUCUUGGACUUUAUGAGAGAGCUUAUAAGAAUCAUGAUUUUCUACGCUUGUCUUUGAGCCAAGAAAGUGCACUUUAUGACAUGUUGUAUCAAUGAACACUGUCCUAGGUCCAUACAAAAUGUGAAACAUUUAGGGGGCAUCUCCGUGCUGUCACUUGUGAUUUGCACUCUUGUAUAUUUUGGUCAUAUUGUCAGCUAGAAAGUCAAAAGUUUCUUUCAGCUAGAAUGUCAAAAUUAAGUUCUUUGAAGACUUAGUGUCAUUUUUAAUCCAGUUUAAAAGUGACUUAAUUUUAAUACCACUACCAGGAAUUUGAAAAUUUCUUCUUUAAUCAUAUUAAAUACAACUAAAAGAACAACACUAAUUAAUAUUGCUUGGGCUUUUUCUCCCUUUGUUUAAAAUGUCAUUUGUUGAGUAAGAGUUGUAUAGUAUUAUCUACUUACUUGAGGCUGUUUUUUCAUUACAGUGUUUUGUACAUAUAUCCAUGAGACCAUAAUGCAUUGUUCUGUGCUCAAAUUGUGUUUUGUAUUUAAAGCACUAUGAAGUGUGUUUUAUAAGCAUUUAAUAUUUAUGCUCUUUAGAAUGGAACACAGAAAACUAACCUUAUAAGGCCUGAUUGUAUUAACUUGAACCAAUAACAUAUGUGGCCCACAAAGCAUAAUUCUGCUAAAUGUUUUUUAAAACAUUUUUUUC